UAUAAGGGUGCUUGGCUGGAUGUGUUCCGGAGCAUGUAUCAUGUAAGGCCUGCCAGGGUAGCAUCCCGAGGUCAAUUCAACUUGUCUGAGUUACGUCCUCAGGGCAAGUGUCAUGGGAGAAAGCGAUACGUCGGUGGCUAAAAGGUCCGGUAUCACAGCGAGUAACUAAACAGAGUGUGACAAUGGCGCGCUAAUAAAAUGAAAU
RNAcentral lists this long non-coding RNA (205 nucleotides) under Salvia miltiorrhiza (redroot sage). RNAcentral describes it as "long non-coding RNA (SMIL_LNC002670)". The record is from RNAcentral. Lineage: Eukaryota; Viridiplantae; Streptophyta; Magnoliopsida; Lamiales; Lamiaceae.